RNAcentral lists this long non-coding RNA (7965 nucleotides) under Canis lupus familiaris (dog). RNAcentral describes it as "lncRNA (ENSCAFG00845029429.1)". Lineage: Eukaryota; Metazoa; Chordata; Mammalia; Carnivora; Canidae. The record is from RNAcentral.
AAACUUAAAAAAAUAAAAAGUGAGUAGGUAUUAUCUUCAAGAAAAAUGUUGCUUGCUACAGGGAAUGUUUAGUACUACAGUCCCUCCAUCUAGAAUUCUCUUCCUAUUGUUUCCUAGAGAAAUUACUUAUUCUUUAAAACUCACCUCAAAUAUCACCUUUCCUGGGAAGCUUCUCUUCAGUUCUCUAAGCACAGUAAGUGUUCCCUCUCCUAAUUUCCACUCUAGAAAACGGGCCUCUGGUGUAGGUUUACCCACCAGGCAUGUGGGAAGCCAACAGUAGGAGCUUGGUCAUCUUUGUGUUCACAACUUACUUUCUAUAAAUAUUUAAUAAAAUUAUGAAUAAAUAAAUGUGCUAUAAAAGUAUAACUUUUUAAAUAAACACCCUCAAAAUCAACAUUUUAUUAUUCUAGUUAUAACAAAGGAGGGGAAAAUGUGAGGGUGAAACAGUUUAAUAUGUUGUUCUGUAUCACUUGAGGAACAUUGAUAAAUUUAAGAAUUUUUUUAAGAUUUAUUUAUUUAUUUACUUAUGAUAGACAUAGAAAGAGAGAGAGAGAGAGAGAGAGAGAGAGAGAGAGAGAGAGGCAGAGACACAGGAGGAGGGAGAAGCAGGCUCCAUGCCGGGAGCCCGAUGUGGGACUCGAUCCUGGGACUCCAGGAUUGCACCCUGGGCCAAAGGCAGGCACCAAACUGCUGAGCCACCCAGGGAUCCCCAAGAAAUAUUUUUAAUGCAGACGCUCAACAGCUGAGCCACGCAGGCGUCCCUCAUAUAGUGAAUUCUGUUUUGAAAAACCUCUCCCACUGCCCAGCUACUCAGGAUCUGAAUUUCUCUAUGGAGCUGUGAAUUACACUCGUAUAAAAAAUUCACCGGGAUUUGGAAAUCAAAGCAGUACGAGGUAGUAUUUCUUGUGGAAAACAUCAUUGGCCAUAUUUUUGUCGAAAGCAUCAAAAAAUAACUCAGAGAUGUUCAGUUAGAGCACAGCUGAAUAUUCUCACGUAUCAAAGACAUUGAUCAUAUAGAGUUUGUAAACAUAGGAAAAUGUAAUAGCCAUAAGGGCAAAAUUGAGUCUGUGGAAAAAGGAGUCUCACAUUUUUUUUUUCUGGGUGAAUUUUUGGCAGGGAACUGUCAAAAAAGGCAGUUUGCUCUUUAGCUGACCAACAGAUUUAUCAGGGAAAGUGGCUUUAACUCUGUGGUUUCAAAUUGGAAAAAAUGACAAUAUUUCGAGCUCUCUGUGAAGACAGUAAGGCUCCUGUCUUCCCGUUAGUACCUCCACCCUAGUUAUGUUUGUUUUUCCUGAUAUUGUUUUUCCUGAGACACCCAGGAACCCCUAGUUUCUUUUCUUUUUUUUAAUACUUUAUUUAUUCAUGAGAGACACAGAGAGAGAGAGGCAGAGACACAGGCAGAGGGAGAAGCAGGCUCCAUGCAGGAAGCCCGAUGUGGGACUCGAUCCCAGGACUACAGGAUCACACCCUGGGCUGAAGGCAGGUGCCAAACCGCUGAGCCACCCAGGGAUCCCCAGAACCCCUAGUUUCUAAUUUAAAUACAAAGUCAGCCCCACCUAGUGUUCUCAAAAUAUGCUUUUAUUACUUAACUCUCUUGCAUAUUUUUUUAAUGUUUCGCAUUUUGGUAAUUUAAACGCCUAACGAUUCUAACUUUUACAUAAGUCUCUCAAAUGUGAUUAAAUUUCAGCUAAUCUUCAUUGCUUUUCCAUGGUUUUCCCACACUCCACUACAUUUCUCAGUGGCUUUUAACCAUGAUGUGUGCAUUAUUCUCUGAGCCUUAGCUUAUGCUGUUCACCAGACAAGAGAAGUCUCUUGAUCACUCAGACAGACUAGUUAAAUUACCCUCCUUUGAAUUUUUACAGAACUCAUUUUAUAUACAACUAAUUUGACAUUUACAAUUCACUGCCUGGUACAACUGAUUUUCUUUUUAAGUAUAUAAGAUUUAUCUUUAAAUUGGAUUUUAAAUAGAUCAAAGAGAGAAAGUCUUAGAAGUUUAACCCAUAUUAAAUACAUCGUAGAUUUUGUACAAAUCAUUAUCAGUAAUAUAUUUUUCCAAUAAAACCUUCUGUCAGUCCUUUAUUACAUAUUUCUAAACUCUUUUUUCUCUAAUAAAGGGGAGUUUAUGUCCCUAGAAACCACAGAUUUCUGAGAAAAUGUUUCCCAUGAGAAAUGCUAAUUUUAGAGAUUAAACCUUUUUUUUUUUCAAGUUACUGUUAUAUUCCCAAUUUAGUGAUAAUUACUGAAGGAAACAUUUGAGCAUUAGAGCCCAGAAUAAUUAUUUACAUUAAUCAGAGUACAUGUUUGUCAUAUAUAAUAAUUAUCUUAUGCUUCUUGAUGCACAUAGAUUAUAAAAAUUACACCAUUCUCCACCCUUCCUUGUUAUUAUGUCAUUUAUAUUGUCACUUCACUUGAACCUGGGCUGACCUUGUGGGAGCUUUCGGCCCACAGAAAACAGUGAAAGUGACAGUAUACAGUUUAUAUAUUUAUGGACAGUUUAUAGUCCAGGCCUCAAAAAGCAUUGCCACUGUCACUCGAAUGAGCCUGGGAAUGGGAGGAAUGGGAGACCGUGGGAAGCUAAGUCACGUCAUGCCAGGCAGGCUCUCCUAAACCAACCAAACUUAUCAGGAGCAAGCUGAACUGAAACCAGCAGAACCAUGGAGAAAAACAUGCUGGGGAACUCUACCAGAGAGCAGAACCAAAUCCUAAGGAACACAUAGGACCUGCAGAUAGGGGGAUCUGGCAACAUUUGCCUAGUGAGGUUUCAGAAUUGAGAGGAAUUAGUGACUGCUGAGUACUUUUUUUAUCCCCUUUCAAAUACGACACCUCACCGAAAUUCUAAGGCACAGUGUCAGAAUAAUCCAUUAUUAGUGAUUGUUCUUUGUCAUUCACUUAUUCUAAAAUAAUUUGCUCACUAGUUCCUCGUCAGCUAUCCUAUGCCCAAUCCCUCUGUCACUUGAAAAGUUUUCUGAUAUUUCAUUGCCUUUUAAUAUUUCCAAAUAAUAAAAUCUCUAUUUAUUCAGUUAUUCUUUAUAAGAUUUGGUUUCCUUGUUGCUUACCUUUGGGACAUAGUACAUCUUCCACUGUGUCUUAAAAUAUAGGGCCUAGAAUAAAAGGUCACCCCAGAUAUGCCCUGACAAGAGUAUGGAAUUCAGAAAGAACUAUUUCUUUCCUUUUUUUCUGGCCAUGAAAUAGUGAUGGCUUGUUGAACUUUUUUUUUUCACAUGAUCCAUAAUCAGUCCAGCUUCCUCACUGAUAGUUACCUAUAGUUGUUCUGCAAGUGGACUAGAAUAGCAGUGUCUAGUUGUCCAUAUCCAGUUUCAUUAUUUUAUUAUGGACCAGGUAACAGAUUGAGCAGAUCUUUCAAAAAUUAUGCUUCCAUAACCAUACUCUUUUGCUUUACUUUGUGGCAAAGGAUGAUAAAAUAAAUAUUUUGGUCUUUAAAAUAUUUAAUGUCUACAGAGUCAAAUCUGAGCCCUGAGCUACAUCACUGAAGACAUCCCAAGAGACUAAUAUUGAGUAUAUUUAUUGGCACACUUUGAAUAUGGUUAUUAUAACAGGUGUUAAUUUAUGUAACUCAGCCAAAAUUCACUUCAUAUGUCUACUUCCCAGGCAAAAUAACUUAAGAAACUUUGUCAAAUAUCUGACAAAAUAGACAUACAAUGUUCACAUCAUGUUAUUCAAGUUUAUAAUAAAAAUCCUUUAUAAAAAUAACUAGAUUAAUGUCACAGGAUGAAUUCUUAUUCAUAGUAAAUCUAUAAUAUCUUUAAUAGCCAAAAUAUUGCCCAUGGGUUCAUAACCAUUGGGUUAACUAUGGUACACAGACUUAUAAAACAGAAUCUCUGUAGUCACUCAGGCAAUGAACAACCAAUAGCUUGUGUGGCAAAUGCUGUUAUUUACCAAAAAAUAUAUUUCCCCUUCUUUUUAGCUGUAACUAACCUCAUUUUACAACCUCCCUUGCAGCUAAACGUUGCCAUAUAACUGAGUUCUAACUGUGAAAUGUAAGCAGAAGUGGUAUCUGCUAUGUGGGAGCCAAAUCUUUUAAGAAGAGAAAUGUCCCCCUUACUCUUUCAAUUCCAGGUAGGGAUGAUGAUUAGUAGGGCUCUGGGAAUUGCAGAGUCACAUCCUGGAUGCACCCUGUGCCUGAAUCACCACAUUGAGGACAUAAUCUGCCAGUGAUAAACAUUUACUUUUAGAGAGGGAGAGAUAAUCAGUGUGUGUACCCGCGUGCUCACGCUGGCUGGCGGGUAAGGUGGAAGCUUGAGUCUUUCAAUUUGAAGCUGUUGUACAGAAAUGAAGCUAACCAAAGUCAUAUUAUUUUAAUCCUUUAUUUAUAUUCGCUACAAAAGACUUUUGGCUAUGCUUAAGGAAUUUAGUGAAAUAAUUCUUAAUUCCCCUAAGACAUACAUUUAGUCAUUGCAAAGUCCUGAUUAUGAGGAUAAAAUUCAUUACUUCAAAAUACGUUCACAGAAAGAUUUUCUAUUUUUUUUUCCUUCUUUCACAGGUCAACUCUUUACUUGUUUAAUGAUAAAAAUUAGUUAACAAAGUUAUCCUUCAUUUGUUAUGUGGUGUUCCAAGGUCAAGCUGAAAAAUGACUGAAUGCUUAGGUGGAAGUAAAGCAAUGACCCCAUAAUGCACAUUAUCCUCCAAUUCCAUUUAUAUAUGGAUGAUGUGCUGUAUCGUAGAGAAGCUAGAGCUAAUUAAUGCUACUUUCUGAAAUAGGACAUAGCAGUUUAGAGUCUUUGCUAGUCAUAGACUGGGCACUGUGGGAGAUUGUCUAUGGGUUGCUAUUUGACAUCCCUCCUCUCAUAAACAUGCAGUUUUUCUGACCAAACCACAAACCAGAUACUAUCCCUUUGAGGCUAUCCAAGGUCGAAGAAACUCCUCUAGUGGAAAUCGACAUGGGAGACCAUCUUAAUUUCAAAAACAACCUAGAACUUCUCAGAGCACUCUCUGGUGGUAAAGCCAGAACCCCCAUUCCAACAUACCUGUAAGGAGAAAGAUGUUAAGGGGAAAGGGAUAUUGUAAAUUGUCUCUCAAUCUUUACUUGCCCCCAAACAACCUGUAAACCAUACUUUGGCUCAUAAAAGCAAGCCACAGACAUGACCGAGUUGUCUUCGUAAUUAUAUUUGAAAUUCCUCCUUUAGCUUAAUACAUUUAUUCUUGGUAUUCCAUUUACAUGGUUUUCUGAUUAUUCCUGGAUUAUGGGCUUUAUACUGGUGCUUCAGGACAUUGCUCUGGGCUUUGUCACAGUGUAAAAUGUGCAAUAGCCUUUCCUAGUUUUGCAGACAACAGUGUUCCUCAUGUUUUUCUCCUGGCUUUUUAAUUUUUCAAUGAUGUGAGAAACCUCUGCCUCAUCUUAUUACAUGGAAGUCCCGCCUAAUCUUUCAACUCUCCCUCACAUAAUACUGUCAUUGGUAUUAAAUUGCCCUGUACACUAUUCACACAUAAUAGCUAAUCUCCUGCAUAAUCAGCCUCAUUACUUGUUAGAGCUCAUCUUCUGUUACUUUCUCAACAUCCGAUGCCUCCUUUUGCUGUAGGUAUUUUCACUGGUUGUUCUCCCCUACAAUGUGGAUGAACCUUGAAAACAUUAAACUGAAAGCCAGAUGCAAAAGGCUGCAUUUUUUAUGAUUCCAUUUACAUGAAGUAUCAAAAAUAGGUUAGUAAAAAAAAACCAACAACAACAAAAAAAUAGGUUAGUCCACAAAGACAGGAAGCAGAUUAAUGGUUAUCAAAGGAUGGGGGAAUGAUGGGGAGUGACUGCAUAACCUGUACAGAAUGUCCUUCUGCCGUGAUGAAAAUGUUUUGGAACUAAAUAGAGAGGAUAGUUUCACAAACUAUGAAUAUACUAAAUGCCACUGAAUUGAGCACUAUAAAAUGGUUCAUUUUAUGUUAAUUGAAUUUUACCUCAAUAAAAGUUACUAGAAAUUAAAAAAAAAUAAUGACUUCCUAAAGCCUCUUCUGAUUUUACACUGCUAUUUUCCUUACCUCUUUCAAGUCAUUACUCUCAUGAAGGUUUUCCUAAUUAAUCAAUCAGAAAUUGUAACCUUCCUAUUUUUUUUUUUUUUUUUUUUUUUUUUUAUUUAUGAUAGGCACACAGUGAGAGAGAGAGAGGCAGAGACACAGGCAGAGGGAGAAGCAGGCUCCAUGCACCGGGAGCCCGAUGUGGGAUUCGAUCCUGGGUCUCCAGGAUCGCGCCCUGGGCCAAAGGCAGGCGCCAAACCGCUGCGCCACCCAGGGAUCCCGUAACCUUCCUAUUAAUAGUGCUCAUCCUCCUUCCCUGUUUUAUUUUUCUCCUAAGCACUUACCCUCAUCUAACGUACUAUGUUUUUCCUUAAUUAUACUGUUAAUUGACAAUCCUCCUCUACUAGAAAGUACACUAUACGAGAUCAGAAAUUUUUCUUUAUUUUUAAAAAUAUUUUAUUUAUUUAUUCAUGAGAGACACAGAGAGUGAGAGGCAGAGACAUAGGCAGAGGACAAAGCAGGCUCCAUGCAGGGAGCCCCAUGUGGGACUGAUCCUGGAACUCAGAUCACACCCUGAGCUGAAAGCGGAUGCCCAACUGCUGAGUCACCCAGGCGUCCCAGAGGUUUUCCUUUAAUGUUUGUAACCCCAAUUCUUAAAAAAGUGCCUGGCACGGAAAAAAGUGCUUAAUGGAUGUUUAUUUAAGAAAUAAAUGGGUGAAAAAAAGAAAUGAAUGAAAGAAAUGAAAUGAAUGAAAAAAAAAGAAUGAACCUCACGUGUCAUUUUUUAUGUGUUGCUCUAGUCUCUAUAUUCAGUUGGAUCAUUUCAAUACGUGUCUUAGAGAGCAUAUGCAUUUUUAUUUAACCCAUCCAACUAUAUCUUCUGAGAGUUUUACCUCAUCUUCUAGUCUGUGCUGGAGUUAAGGUGAGUCAAGUAGUUGACUUUUUAGAAUCAUUGAGAUGUGGAUUUGAAUCUUAGUGUACAGAUCCUGGCUGUGUGAGUUACAAUUACUUUAAUAAUUUCCUCUAGGAUUAUGUUACCUCAACAAUAAAUAUGUGUAUUAGUCAGAGUUCUUUCUACCAAGAACAAAACCAAUAGAUCUCCUAAUAUAUAUCAGUUGGGUCCAGAGUAACAAAGAGCAUAUAUAUAUAGAGAGAGACACAGAGAGACAGAGAGAAAUGGAGAGACAGAGACAGAAAAAGAGAGAUUAUUACAAGGAAUUGGCUCAAAAUUCCAAGGCCUGUAGUCAACAAGCUGGAGACCCAGGAGAGCUGAUGGUGUAUGUCCAGUCUGAAAGCUGGAAAGCUCAAAACCCAGAAUGAGCCAAUGUUUCAACUGAGUCUGAAGGUAGGAAAACAAAACAAAACAAAACAAAACAAUGUCCAAUAUUGAAGUUAUUCAGGAAGAAAGAAUUUUCUCUUAUUGGGAGAGGUUCAGCCUUUGGUUCUAUUCAGGCCUUUGAUUGGUGGAUGACACCCACUCACAUCAGCAAAAGCAAUCUACUUUACUAAGUCUAUUGAUUUAAAAGUUAAAAUUAUCCAAAAAUGGGAUGCCUGGGUGGCUCAGUGGUUGAGUGUCUGCCUUUGGCUCAGGGCAUGAUCCCAGAGUCCCAGGAUUGAGUCCCACAUUGGGCUUCCUGCAUGGAGCCUGGUUCUCCCUCUGCCUAUGUCUCUGCCUCUCUCUCUGUGCCUCUAAUAAGUAAAUAAUUAAAAUCUUUUAAAAAAUUAUCAAAAAAUACUCUAACAGACACACUCAGUAAUAUUUGACUGAAUACUGAGUACUCUGGCCCAAUUAAGUUUACAGAAAAUUAACAAUCACAAUACAUACAACAAUAUCUAACUUACAGGGUUGAUUUGAGGGUUGGAUGAAUAUAUUAAAUGCUACAGAAUUAAAGCUUAGUAUUUAAAUUAUCUUCUGUAUUUUUGCUUUGUGUUGAGAUACUCUUAACUUCAGCUGUUAUUCUUGAUUUCUAUUUCUCUGAUCAUUUACUGACACAGUUGUUUAGU